CACAAGAGACUUGAACGUAUUUUGCCAUCCCUUGUCAUCCACAAAGAUUACACUGAAAAAAAAAAGUGGGAGUUAAACAUCAUUCUAAACAAGACAUCUUUGUCAACCUCGUAUCACACAUAUAGCUCCCAUGAUCACCUUCCCUCUCUCUACUUUCUAUCUCACAGGGGUUUUUCUUUUUCCCUUAAUACUCCAAAAUCCACUUUCUAAAUCUUAAAAUUCCGAACUUUAGCUAAUUGAAAACCAAAAUGUCACAUCUUUCCCAUGCCCUUUUUAACAAAGGAGAUCGACUUGAGGUCCUUAAAAGAGAAAAUGGUCCCAGCACUUCAACUUACUAUCCAGCUACAGUUGUUAAAUCAAAUAAAAAUCAAGUCUUUAUUGAGUACCAAACCUUGAUGGUUGAAUCAAAUUCAAAAGGUCCAAAACGCCUCAGUGAAUUUGUUGAUUUGGGGUUUGUAAGGCCAAACCCUUCCAAGAGGAAACAACGAGCCCUUUAAAGUGAACGAGAAAGUUGAUGUUUACUGUGAUAAUGGGUCGCAUAAAGGGACUGUUAAGGAUAUUUUAGAGAAUUCGAGGUAUGCUGUUGGUUUUGAUGGUGAAUGUAGCGAAGGUAUUGUUUCUGAACAAUGUAAUUUAAGGCUUCAUCGUGAAUGGGAUGAAGGGUCUUGGAUCCCGCCUCUGCUUGAUCAGAGAAAUAUUUCUGGGAUGGGGUGAAAUCGAGAAAGAUAAUGUUGAAGAUAAAAUGCAGACUGAAAAAACCCGAUCCUGUAGGAAAGGCUGGAGAUAAAAUGCAACAAAUAUUUAGGGAUGGGACAUUGGUGGAGGUCAAGAGUGAUGAAGAAGGUUACGAUGGUUCUUGGUUUGGUGCAAUUAUUGUUUGGUGCAAUACCUGAACCUUGUCACCGAAGAUGAAACUGCACCCCUGAGAGAAAUAGUGACUGAACAGAAUAUCAGACCUAAUCCACCCGAAGUUCAGGAUGUCAUCAAAUUUAAACUGCAUGAAAAGGUUGACGCAUGGUUCAAUGAGGGGUGGUGGGAGGGUGUGGUCUCUUCAGUGCUGAGUGGGUUUAAGUAUAUGGUCCAUUUCAACUCUACAAAUACACUAUGGAAUUUGAACAUGCUAGGUUGAGACCUCAUCAAGAUUGGAUUAAUGGAAAAUGGAUCAAGGAAGAGUCAAUUGUGUUGGAGGGUAAUGGAAGGACUCCAAAACCCAAGUUCAGCAAGGGAACAAGGGUGGAGGUCAAAAGUGAAGAAGUUGGUUUCCAGGGUUCUUGGUACUCUGCAACCAUUGUGGAAGUGAUGGAGAAUGACAAAUUUCUGGUUCAAUAUCACAACCUUGUAACAGAUGAUGAAACUGGUUCCCUUAGACAUAAGGCCUUCACACCCUCGUAUUCAACGUGCCUACGCUUUUGAAUUGUCUGAAAUAGUUGAUGCUUGGUAUAAUGAUGGAUGGUGGAUGGGCUGUAUUGUCAAAGUUCAUAAUAAACUGAAGUACACAGUGCACUUCAAAACAACAGAGGAAUUGGAGUUUGAACUUUGCGAGCUGAGGCCUCAUCAAGAAUGGAUUGAUAGAAAUUGGUUCACUGUUCCAAAGAUAUGCAGUUUGUACCUACACUAACGCAAGACCCAUACAAUGACAUGGCUUAUGGCAUACACAAUCCUGCUUCCCACUUUAUAAACAUGCAAAAUCAUGUCUUCCACUUGGAAUUCUCGCUUGUAUAUGGCUCCAAACAUAACCAACAAUACUGUUUGACAUCUCCUUUGAGCACUAUGGUUGUGUAUGACCUUUAUCGGAUUCUAAAAUCAAGUAGGAAUUGAUCAUAAAAUCUCAGGGAAAGCUGGAAGUUAAGGAUGUAUGAAAUGCCUUUGGAAUGUACAGGUUUAUACUUGAAUAGUUUGGAUGAACUCUCUGACACAUGCCAAGGAUAUGUUAUUUAUUCGUUACUCAAUUUGCUGUAUUUUUCCUCUGCUACGUAGGUGUGUAAAAGAUUCCCUUGUUUCACUAACCUAACUAUUGCCACAAUUGAUGCUGUUUGGACCUCCCAUUGCCUGAUCUGUUUGGUUUUUGCUGCACUUGUCAAAUGCCUCCUUUUUCUCUUCUGGUUGCAGAAUUGGUGCUUCUGAUCCCCGGAUUCUGUGGCUGGAUUCAGUCCAAAAUCGAAAUGUCUUCUGCCAGAACAUGCUUUUAAGCUUCUAUGCAAUCACUGCUUCCAUCUUGAUUGGGGCUUUAAUGUAUUAUAAGGUUAACUGUCAUGCACUUUGGAUGUUUUGGUCACUGUCCUUAAAGCCCAGUUGCCAGGUAACAAUGCCAAGUGCCAACUGUUUUAUACUUAAGGAGACUGCACUGACAUUGAUUAUGUAAAAUGCUAAUGAUAGCUAUAUCUCUGCUUGAACAUAUUAUUACUUAGUUCAACUCUAGGCUGCCAUUAUAUUUGACA
Long non-coding RNA from Populus trichocarpa (black cottonwood), 2438 nucleotides. RefSeq lists it as uncharacterized. NCBI's taxonomy places the organism in Eukaryota, Viridiplantae, Streptophyta, Magnoliopsida, Malpighiales, Salicaceae. The record is from RefSeq and is a predicted model, not a curated record. The transcript is spliced from 4 exons.